RNAcentral lists this ribosomal RNA (253 nucleotides) under uncultured bacterium. Its description in RNAcentral is "partial 16S ribosomal RNA". It matches the Rfam family "Bacterial small subunit ribosomal RNA", at positions 524 to 776 of the family's 1533-position model. The record is from RNAcentral.
UACGUAGGGGGCAAGCGUUAUCCGGAUUUACUGGGUGUAAAGGGAGCGUAGACGGCAAUACAAGUCGGAAGUGAAAUACCCGGGCUCAACCUGGGAACUGCUUUGGAAACUGUAUGGCUGGAGUGCUGGAGAGGUAAGCGGAAUUCCUAGUGUAGCGGUGAAAUGCAUAGAUAUCACGCAGAACCCCGAUUGCGAAGGCAGCCUUCCGGCGCCCUACUGACGCUGAGGCACGAAAGUGCGGGGAUCGAACAGG